UACGUAGGGGGCAAGCGUUGUCCGGAUUUAUUGGGCGUAAAGAGCGUGUAGGCGGCUAGGUAGGUCCGUUGUGAAAGCUCGAGGCUCAACCUCGAGACGUCGAUGGAAACCAUCUAGCUAGAGUCCGGAAGAGGAGAGUGGAAUUCCUGGUGUAGCGGUGAAAUGCGCAGAUAUCAGGAAGAACACCCGUGGCGAAGGCGGCUCUCUGGUACGUGACUGACGCUGAGACGCGAAAGCGUGGGGAGCGAACAGG
RNAcentral lists this ribosomal RNA (253 nucleotides) under uncultured bacterium. RNAcentral's name for it is "partial 16S ribosomal RNA". It matches the Rfam family "Bacterial small subunit ribosomal RNA", at positions 524 to 776 of the family's 1533-position model. The record is from RNAcentral.